Myodes glareolus (Bank vole) is the source of this 1285-nucleotide non-coding RNA. The record is from RefSeq and is a predicted model, not a curated record. Lineage: Eukaryota; Metazoa; Chordata; Mammalia; Rodentia; Cricetidae.
CAAAGGAGGAUUGUGUCUGUGCUUUUUAUUGACUUUGGUUUGUUGGGGAGAAACAGAUACACGUGCACACGGGUGCCCUCAGAGACCAGAAGAGGGAGUCAGGUGCUGAGUUGGAUCAGUGUCUACAAACACAUAAGACACAUAUCAAGAGACUCAGGAAGAAGGCUGUCACUUAUCUCCUCAAAGCAGGGAUGAGUGUUAGGAUAUCCAAGAGAGAAUAUUCUGACAGGAGUUCGAUGUGAAACUGAAGAUGGAAAAGCAUCACAGGGAGAAAAAAAGGCAUUCAAGGCAGAAGAAGGACUACCAGAGGACAUACACUUUGAGAAUACAUCACACGUUGAACAUGUGUAGAGGACUUCAACAUGCCUUUGUUUCCAGACUUGCACGUGGGUAUCAUAGGAGGGGCUACACUUGGUGAAAUGGGUGUUACUAUAAAUACGGAAGAGUAAUCCCUCAUCAAAAUGGGUGAUCCAGCUGUUUCAACGGCGGCUGCAAGCAGUUGCUUCUCAUCUCUGCACCAGAGGGCAGUCUUUCAUCAAAACCAUGGAAACACUAGGGCAGGACUCUGCUGAUGAACACAGAGACCCUCCAAUCACAGACCUUCUAGGAAGAGCAACUCCUCUGGAAAGAAGAAUGAAGAAAUGAUGUGAUGCUAGACUCUUGUAUGUCAAUCACAGGAAGAAUUGGCAUGCUUAGAUGACCUCCAAUGGACACUGUACCUUUAAUGUUGCUCAAGGGUGAACAUCUAGAGGCCAUAGAUGAGUCCCUAAAACUAAAGCAAAGGGUAGUUUGAGAAUGAAAGCAGAAGGAGAGAAAGGGCGGUAGGCAGGAGGAGGGAUGGAAGAAGAGAGGGAAGGAAGAAGAGGCAAGAGAGAAUUUCCCAUGCGAUCAAAUAUCUCAAUUCCUGAGGACGUUUUGUGAACACACAAAACGUUAUCUUAUUGGUAAUCAGAUUUGAAGGUUUCAGAAUGCAGCUACCAAAAGCAAUUUGAAAAAACAGUUUAUACUGGGGCUGUUAUAAGUUCAAACUAUAAAAUACCAUUAAGAGGAUUUACCUAGUGUCUGGGAAGAUAGUUCGGCCAGUAGAACUUGCCCUGAAAGCCUUUCGACCUGAGUUCUAGCCCUACAGACCACAAAGAGGUGGAAGAAGACAAUGGCUGCACAAAGGUGUCCUCUGACCUCCAUGUCCCUACCAUGGUACAUGUGCCCACAUGUAUAUCACAUGACAAUACACAUUAAUAAUAGAGAACGGCAAUAUAUAAUAUAUUUUUAAGAUAUUUUAAAG